Fundulus heteroclitus (mummichog) is the source of this 270-nucleotide long non-coding RNA. RefSeq lists it as uncharacterized. The transcript is spliced from 3 exons. Lineage: Eukaryota; Metazoa; Chordata; Actinopteri; Cyprinodontiformes; Fundulidae. The record is from RefSeq and is a predicted model, not a curated record.
AGUCUCAGACCACAACCAGAACCCAGCUGUGUGUCCUUUAAGAGUGACAAGUCAAAGGGUCCUCCUCUUAACUUCAAAUCUUCUGGACCUUCAUCCUCAGAGAGGAUUCCUAAGAGACUGACACGAACACAUCAAGAGGAACCAGAACUCAGCUGUGUGUCCUUUAAGAGUGACAGGUCAAAGGGUCCUCCUCUUAACUUCAAAUCUUCAGGACCUGCAUCCUCAGAGAGAGUGGACCAGCAGAACUCAGAGGUUCCCAGAGGUCCGUCU